UAAACUUAAUCCAGAGACUCUCAGGUUUUUCUGCAGUUUCAUACCGGAGCUCUGAGCAGUCAUACUAUUAGACUAGAUUAGAGAGUAACAGAGAGAGAGAAAGUCUCUAAGAGUGAGAGACACAGCGAGGCUACUCUCUUAGCAGAGCAAGCGGGAAAGAGACACACCAAGUCUAGUCUCUCAGAGGGCCCCAGCCAGGAGGGGAGAAAGGCGAAGCCAUUGGAGGCAGGCUUGGGACUCCGCAGCGGCGGCUCCGGUGCGCUCAGACCCACCCGCUGCUCCAGCUCACUCACCUCUUUGCUCCGGAUGCUGCGCAGCCACCUCUCACUCACACGGAGGCUACUUCCAGGACUAUGAAAGGUUUAAGGAAACACUGAAGGAAAUACAACCAGGAUUAAACAAUGUCGUGACCAUUCAGCAAAGCAACCCAAUCCCUGAGUAGUUCAAAAAGAACCCUGGAUAUACAGUGGCACAAGACGAUCCAGAUAGAGCCCUGUGAAACCAGAUUUACGCCAAUGGAUCGAUACAGGUGAUAAUUGAGAUCCGAAUCUGGCCCAAGCUGGACUAAUUUCUGUUAAACAGCA
Non-coding RNA from Chrysemys picta bellii (western painted turtle), 584 nucleotides. The record is from RefSeq and is a predicted model, not a curated record. Lineage: Eukaryota; Metazoa; Chordata; Testudines; Emydidae.